This is a long non-coding RNA of Paramormyrops kingsleyae, 2209 nucleotides long. RefSeq lists it as uncharacterized. The record is from RefSeq and is a predicted model, not a curated record. Lineage: Eukaryota; Metazoa; Chordata; Actinopteri; Osteoglossiformes; Mormyridae.
UGCAUGAAGGUGACUUUCACUCAGCCCAGAGCUUCCUAACACGAUGCCUGGAGCAGGAUCCAGCUGUGGUAGAGCUUCACAUGCUGCAGGCCCAAAUUUACCUCUGCACAGUAGCCCUGGUUUCUAAAGAUGCCUCAAGUCCCUGGAGACUGGCGUCAGCCACAACAUCCAGUACCACCUGAACAAGACCAGAGCUCUGAAGGGGACAGGGUGUGUCUACGAGGGCAAACAGACCCUGAAACCAAUCAUGAGAAGGCCAGGGUUGACAAAAGGCCUGAAGAGGAAGUAGAACUCAAUGACCAGUGAUGCCAAUGCAUCCCUGUACCUGGAGUUGGACAGAGCUCUGCUUUUGAAUGGAGAGCAGCACAAGACCACAAAGGUAAUUCAGGAUGCAAUCCUGCCAGGACCCCUGAGGAGAUGUGAAUCACAAUUGCCAACACUGAUCUUUUGCUGGCUAAAAAUGACAUGAGCACAGCUCUAACUGCCUUAUAGAGCAUCACCCCUGACCAGCAGAACUAUAGAGAGGCCAAAGAAAAGACGUCACUAAUUUACCUGCAGAAGCAGAGAGACAAGCCUGCUAUAGGUGUGGAGUGGCCACAUCAACUAAAAACCACAUUUCAGUUUAAUUGCUUGACAUUUCAUGCAUUUCCACCACUGAAGAAAACAGUGAACCUUUGUUCUGUCCGUUAAGGUAUUUGAUUGGAAAACAGUAUCGAAAUUAUAUUAAUAAUCAAGUAAUCUGCUGAUUAAUUUGAAGAUUAAUUGAGUAAUUGGUUAUAUAAAAUGUGAUACAUACAUAUAUAAAAUAUAAUAUUUGUACACUGGCAUGAUGCAGGAACUACUCCUGGAUGGGAUGCCAGCCUAUGGCAGUGAACACACUGGCUCACUCACUCACACAUGUGGUCGAUUGAGGUACUGCAGUUCACUAAGGUGGUAUGUUUUUGGAGGAUCAGCAAUAAACCCAAGCACACACAGGGUGAAUAUACAAACUCCACAUGCACGAAGUGUACCCACAGGGCUACCCACUGCACCACGGUGCCACCCUCGACACUAGGUCGGCACGCUGACCGAUCUUAACAUUGACAUCAUACAUUAUGCACAUGCAGUUUAAACAUCACAAGGACAACGACAGCUGUAAUAGUGGUUACACUGAAACAUAUUUACUCUGCCAUAGGAAACAAAACUUAGCAAGCUUUGCAGUUUUACUGAUGGUUCCUUUCAAGGGCGUCGUUAGGUCAGAUCACUUGGGGCUAUAGCCUUGAGCAUUUUAAUCCUAUAGCCCCAAGUAUUUUAGCCUCGAUGCCAAUUAUCAUCCUUCAAAAAAAAAAAAAAAGUCAAGCCCCAGGUAAACUAGACUUAGCCCCUGAUCUUUUCAAUAGCUAGAAACUCCCCUGGUUCCUUUUCUGCAUUUCAGCAUUGUCUAGCAUACAGCAUAUGGACAGUAUUGGGACACCUGGCCAUCACACCCACAGGAACUUUUUAUUUGUAGGAGCCCUGCAUACAUUCUCCAAGCCAAUCAUAAUCAUUCUCAUCCAAGCGCUUUUAAUCCCUCACAGGAAAUUUUGUGCAUUUGUGAGAAAUAUAACAAAAAUGAGUGAAGAGGAAAAAAGCUAAAAGAAGAAGUCACAAAAAGAUAUUUGUCCUCCCAUUAGAGGGUGAGUCCCUCAGACCUUAAAGUCUUCUGAAUGUCUGCAUUUUCUUUCACUUUUAAUGUGAAGUGUUUCCACACAACUGAGGCUGUCACUCUUUUUUUGCACCCUCAUCUUCAAUGCUGUCUUCCGCCAUACUGCUUAGUAAUUGAGAAGGCAAAUUUUAAUUGAUACUUAAAAAAAAAAGAGUAAAUUAGAUUAAUCAAGGAAUCGUGACAGAUCUAAUUCAAACAAAAUAAAUGCCCUCGAGAUUUCAUUUUCUCUUUGCCUCCUUGUAUCUGCCGUUUAUCUGUUAUAUCCGAGUAAAUACCAUAAAACUCCACAGAUUAGGGAUAUUUGGCAUCUGUGGAAAUUGCGGCUUAUUGGAUCUAGAUCUCUCCCAGUGUGUCAUGUCCCACUCGUUCGAUCCUCCUGUGUGCCACACCCCCCUCUCUACCUCGUGUGGAAUCCCGUGUUCCCAGUGGUUCCUCGUCAUGUUAAUUACUGUUGUUACGUAUGUAAGUCUGUGUCUGCGUGUCGCGAGUAGUCCAGUCAUUGACAAUGUAAAGUUCUAAUGUCGA